UAAGCUAAUAACUAGCAGGUGAUGAUC
RNAcentral lists this non-coding RNA (27 nucleotides) under Mus musculus (house mouse). The record is from RNAcentral. Lineage: Eukaryota; Metazoa; Chordata; Mammalia; Rodentia; Muridae.